Molecule: long non-coding RNA, 292 nt
Filed under: Homo sapiens (human)
Lineage: Eukaryota; Metazoa; Chordata; Mammalia; Primates; Hominidae
Description: HSALNT0401349
Source: RNAcentral
GAGCUGGAGACUUAGGGAGGAGACGUCUUGUUCUGGUCUGAGGGUCGUGGAGCUGCAGACCCAGGGAGGAGCAAUUUUGUUGUAGUUCGAGGGUCAGGAAGCUGGCGACCCAGGGAGGAGAGGUCUUGUACUAGUCUGAGGGUCGUGGAGCUGCAGACCCAGGGAGGGGCAAUGUUGUUGUAAUUCGAGGGUCUGGCAGCUGGCAACUCGGGGAGGAGAAGUCUUGUUCUAGUUUGAGGGUCGUGGAGCUGCAGACCCAGGGAGGAGCCAUGUUGGUUUGAAUGUUGUGGAU